ACCCGUCACCCAGAACACGCGCACGCGCACAGAGAGAGAGAGAGAGAGAGAAAGAGAGAGAGAGAGAGAGGCGCACGCCCCGCGCCACAAGCUCCAACCAGUGACACAGUUCAACAAGCCGCCAUGUCCACGGAGCCGCUCCUCUCCGCCGGGGGCGCCGUUGGCGGGGGCGAAACGAAGAAGGUGCGGCGUUUGAGCAUCGACGACGCGCUGGCGAUGCACGCGGGCGAGUUCGGGCGGUGGCAGCUGCAGCACUUCGUGCUGGUGUCCGCGGCGUGGGCGCUGGAGGCGCUGCACACCAUGGUCAUCAUCUUCGCGGACCGUGAGCCGGCCAUGGCGUGCGCCGCGGGGGACGGGCGGUGCGGGGACCGCUGCGCCGGCGCCGCGGCCGGGUGGGAAUGGGCCGACGGCGCCUCCUCGUCGACGGUCGCCGAGUGGGGCCUCGUCUGCGGGGAGCGGUACAAGGUCGGGCUCGUCCAGGCCGUCUUCUUCGCCGGGUGCAUGAUCGGCGCCGGCGUGUUCGGGCACCUCUCGGACUCGUUCCUGGGCCGGAAGGCCUCGCUCCAGGCGGUCUGCGUCCUCAACGCCGCCUUCGGCCUCCUCACCGCGCUCGCCCCCACCUACUGGGCCUACGCCGCGCUGCGCCUCCUCACGGGAUUCAGCACCGGCAGCGUCGGCGUCCUCGCCUUCGUCCUCGCCACCGAGCCCAUCGGGCCCUCCGGCCGCGGCGCCGCCGGCAUGUCCUCCUUCUACUUCUUCUCCGGUGGCAUCGCCGCGCUCGCUGGGGUCGCCGCGCUCUUCCAGCACUCCUGGCGCCUGCUCUACGUCGUCACCUCGCUCCCGUCCCUCGUCUUCGUGCUCGCCGUCAUGCCGUUCGUCUCCGAGUCGCCGCGGUGGUACCUCGUGCGCCGGCGGGUGGACGACGCCAUGCGCGUCGUCCGCGCCAUCGCAUCCACCAACGGCAGGCACGUCCCCGACGACGUCUCACUCAAGCUCGACGACGAGGGCGACGAAGGCAGGAACGUCGAUGAGUCGUCGUCAUCCUCCGGCUCCAUCGUGGACGUGUUCCGGUCGCGGACGACGCGUGUCCGGCUCGUGCUCUCGGUGUUCAUCAACCUCCUGACCUCGGUGGUGUACUACGGCCUCAGCCUGAACGUGGUCAAUCUCAAGACCAACCUGUACGUCAGUGUCGUCGUCAACUCGCUCGCCGAGAUGCCCGCCUACCUGCUCACCGCUCUGCUCCUCGACCACUUUGGCCGGAAGCCGCUCGCCAUUGGCACGAUGCUGCUCAGUGGCAUCUUCUGCACCGCCGGAAGUCUCAUCCCCGGCGUCGGCAUCAUGAGGGUGGUGAGGAUGGCGUGCGGCGUGGUGGGGAUCUUCGGCAUGGCGGCAACGUACAACCUGCUGUUCAUAUACACAGCAGAGCUGUUCCCGACGGUGGUGCGGAACGCGGCGCUGGGGUGCACGGCGCAGGCGGCGCAGAUGGGGGCCAUUGUGGCGCCACUGGUGGUGGUGCUCGGCGAGAGGGUGCCGUUCGCGGUGUUCGGCGCGUCAGGCAUCGUCGGCGGACUGCUGGUCAUCUACUUGCCGGAGACGAUGAACAAACCCUUCUAUGAUACCAUGGCCGGACUGGAGGAAGGGGAGAAGACCGUUCUCAAGUGAGAUAGAACUCAGAGGAGAUAGGCGAACGUAGCGAAAGUUGCGUCCACGUUGUGAAAAUAUGCAUGUUCUUUCCAUCGAGGAAGCUGGGAUCGGACUGAAACGAAUAACAAGUCUACAAUCCUCACUGGUUGCAAGCAGGUGAGGAGUCCACGGUGAAUUUAGGAAGGAUUUUGAGAUACUGGAGGGUUGAAUGUAGAAGCGGAAGCGGAACCACGGACAUGGAGGACGAAGAGCAGGAGUGCCGAGGGAAAAUGCAUCUACGUAUCUCUCUCUUUACGUACGUACGACUUAUCUCCAUCGUCUGUUAAUUUCUUUUUCCAUCCUAUAAUUUUUUUUCACCUACACGUGUAUCCGCAAGGGGCUAGUGGAAUUUUUGUGUUCCCAACCGAGAGGUGUCCUGUUUGAUA
Phragmites australis (common reed) is the source of this 2069-nucleotide RNA transcript. It is a transcript of the gene named organic cation/carnitine transporter 4, with no coding region annotated. The transcript is spliced from 4 exons. The record is from RefSeq and is a predicted model, not a curated record. NCBI's taxonomy places the organism in Eukaryota, Viridiplantae, Streptophyta, Magnoliopsida, Poales, Poaceae.